UCAAGAGAAAAGCUUAAGAGCUGAAGUGCUGUCGAAGUUACUAUGCGAGAAGAAGAAAGUUGAAGCAAUAUGAGUUUAAGGCUAAGUUUUGUGAGUAUUUUUUUCAAAGUAUUUAAAUGAUUUUCGACUUCUUUAUACAUUCUUUCAUGAUUUGAAAUGAUGAAUUUCAAUAUAUAUGUUUCUAAAGAGAUUUACAUCGAAAAAAUUAUAUGUUUCAAAGUACGAUUUAAGUAUGAAAUGAUGUUUAAACCAUUAGUUACUUCCUAUCAAUGAGCUAACUAUUAUGUGCACAUAAUGAGUCAAGGCAACCAUGGGGUGAAAGGAGCUACAUGGUGAAGAGAAGCUAGCUAAUAGGUUGAAAGAAGCAUAUUAAGCUUAGUAGUUUGAGCAACAAGGAUAAAUCUAUAUAGUCUUGGAUGCUGAUAUUAUAGUAGUCUAAACGUGAAGUAAUGAGACCUAGCGUAGAAAAUGAUUUGGGAUCCUUGACAAAAGGAAUGCUUGGUAACUAAUGUGUGUUUAUGCAAGAUGAAACAUUUAUGCAAAAUGAUGUAUUUGUGUGAACUGAUAUAUUUUGUUUUAGAUUGCCUUGGUUCAAAGGCAGAGUAAUCGACUACCCUCCGAUGGAGGUUAUUC
This 633-nucleotide long non-coding RNA is filed under the name Cucumis sativus (cucumber). RNAcentral describes it as "long non-coding RNA (CSAT_LNC000437)". Lineage: Eukaryota; Viridiplantae; Streptophyta; Magnoliopsida; Cucurbitales; Cucurbitaceae. The record is from RNAcentral.